UUCUUUCCGCUUUCUCGAAGCGCUCCAGGACGCAGGUGGCACGCUCAACGCGGGGAGGCGCCACCUGUUUCUAGCCAGAGGAGCUAGAGGCCAGUGGGAACCUGCCUCAUAGGAGAGGACUUUGUCCUUGACUCCCGCUAAUUUUCAUUGAUUUAUGGGGCUUGAAAGCAUUUAUUUUCUGCUCAGAGGCAGCCCAGCUCCUGCUAAGGAGGUGCAGGACUCCCCUAAAUGCUGUCACCAUGGAGAGGCGAGCAGCAGAGGUGGCUCUCAGGGCAACAGCUACAUUUCCUGCUCAGUUCCAGUUGCUACCUAAGAGCUGGGAGGGUCCAAUGGGAGCUGCUGGCCCUGCUGUGACAGCCUCCCCACUCCUGUCCCCAGAGCCUGCCUGCUUCUGGUCACAGCUACUUGAGUUUAACACUCCUGGCAGCUUAGCACUCUGGUUUUUAUGUGUGAAGCCGUAAUAUUUGGUGAGCUGUGAGAUGAGGUGGCAAGAUUUGCAACUGGCAUUCCCUUCCGGCCCUGCCCUGUGAUUCAGGUCAGUGGUGUGACAAAGUGAGGCCACCCCUCCUCCCCACUCUGGCUUCCCACCUGUGGCUAUUUGGAAUGAUGUCUUUCCUUCGUUUUCUCCUCUUCCCCCAUCCCAUGCCUGAUAGACUCCCGUAGCUCUUGGCUUUCAAAAGGGGGUAUUCAGUCCUCACAUUCCAAACCAUCUGCUCAAUUAAACAUUUUAAACAGCAAUUCUGAGUCUGCCCAGGACCACAUUCCAAAAGGUGGGUGUCAGGAGAUAGGCUUUCUAAAUGUCAGAGGCUCUGUGAAAAUCUUAACUGAUGAGGAAGUGGGCCAGCUAGAAAGCAUCACGUUUUCUUGGAGAUUAGAAACAUAAGACUCAGUGUCCAUACUUUCAAAAUUCCUCUUCCUGAGGCACAUGAUGAGUCAUUUGAGCAUCUCUAGUCCUUUUCUCCAGGUCUGUAUUCCCUGAGCCUUCCUGCCCUGUUUCCUGAGCCAGGGUUGAAGUUCAGAUUCCUGUGGGUCCCCCCAGGCAUCCUCCUUAUCUGCAGUUGUCUUAAUUUCUGUCCCAUCUUCCCACCCAU
RNAcentral lists this long non-coding RNA (1091 nucleotides) under Homo sapiens (human). RNAcentral's name for it is "HSALNT0241904". Lineage: Eukaryota; Metazoa; Chordata; Mammalia; Primates; Hominidae. The record is from RNAcentral.